AGGCUAUCAAGAAUAACAUCCUGGGGACUGGAAAGAUGGCUCAGCGGAUCACCCGCCUCCAAUCAGAGAAGUCCAUCAAGAGAGGUGUCCAUACCACUCCACCUCCAGAUCUAAGAAAUCUAUCCGGCAAGAACCCACCAUGUCCAUCCCAAUGGCAGUGCUGGUUCAUUGUUUUUGUUUUGUUUUGUUUUGUUUAGUCUUCUGAUUUAAGAGGGUUUUUUUCUUUGUGAUGGCAUUUCACUGAGAAACCCAGGCUGACAUCAAAUGCAGUCUUGCCUCUGGAAUUAAAGGUUUACACUACCA
This is a non-coding RNA of Myodes glareolus (Bank vole), 303 nucleotides long. NCBI's taxonomy places the organism in Eukaryota, Metazoa, Chordata, Mammalia, Rodentia, Cricetidae. The record is from RefSeq and is a predicted model, not a curated record.